GCCGUGUCUUCAGCUCUUUGAAAAGGUGAAACCAAUAAGAUUAAAUCGGACAAAGAUUUUUUUCCCUGCAAGUGUAUCACUAAGAUUAAACUCCGCAUACUGUUAAGGGGGUCCACAGCAGAAGAGGAGAGGAGAGCGAGAGGGACAGCGAAUGGAAGCAGGGGUAGACGCUCAAAGACAAUUCUGGGAAACGGCGAGAGAAAAAGGAGAAAUUGGACGGCAGGAUAUGAAAAGAAGAAGCACCGUCGAAAGCGAUUGUCAGUGGAGGAGCAGCUUUGUAAUUGCACAAAAAACAGCCACCGGCAAGGUGCCUGUCAAAUAUCCAGGGAUUGAUGCAGCGUCGAGGAAUCAAGUGGAUGAAAAGAAGACUUAACGCCGGUUUGGGUGCAUACGCAGAAAAAACUGCGACCCCGAACGGAGGAAAAAAAGAGGAGGGAGGCUGCAUUUUAAACAGCAAAAAUGGGACUUUUUUCUCCUACUGUGGUGGAGAGGAGUGACCAGAAAAGAGUUGUAUUAAAUAGAGAGCGACGUGGCGGCCCUGGCAUUCGCGAACACAGUGGGACACAUUAAAGUGGUGCGAGUGGAGUGGUGCGGGAUGUCAUUUAUGGUGGAGAGCGAUGACACUGCUUGGCACAAGUUUUGGGAAUAUUUGGUACAUAUACAUGUAAUAAAUUAACUGUGGAUUUCUGGGGGAUUUUAAGGUGCCUUAUCAUUUGAAUAUUAUUGCCAAUGUUCAUAUUGUCUUCAUUUUUCUUGUGCACUGUGUGUUUAUCAAGAAAAAUUAGAUUAGAUUAAACUUUUUUGUCAUUACAUAUGUACAAGUACGGAGCAACGAAAUGCAGUUUGGCAUCCAAAAAAUAGAGCUUCUUUUACUCUGAAAGGAGACCCAGCAUUCCGAAACUUUAAUUAUCUGCUUAUUGAGAAAUACUGAAGCGUGCUCUCUGGGAAACUGACAGCUGCUCCUUUUGUAGGGGGAAAAAAAAAAUCACUUUAACACCCAUUAUUAGUACAAUGAUAUGCAACCCAAAAGUUUGUAUUAUGUGUUAGAGCAUGCUGCAGGAGAGUAUGAGAGGGACACUUUCACACCUUUGUGUUUACUUGAGUUCGUGUGCCUGUAAUAGCCAGGCCAGUUCCCCUCAGAUGUUCCCUUUGGCCUUUGACCCCGGAGUUGAGGUUAAAUCCAGACAAAUGAGAUGGCCAAGUGCUGGCCAGAACCGCAAACAUUCCACAACAAUCUACUAUCCUCCUCCUCCCCACGCCUCAUUUCCGUCAUUCCUCACUCCUUUCAAUAUGUCUUGUUUUUAGCCGUGAGUGAUGCAGAGAAUGUUCUCAUUACACAAAAGCAUGUUUUAUUGUAUUUCCAGUGAGAAACCUAAAGCACAUACACUUCAAAUUACGAAUUACAUUAGUUAAACUUAAUAUCCCUGACAUCAGCCUUGUUUACAGAAGGAAGGAAAACAAGCGGGUACGAUCUGAGGAGAAGCUCUGCUACCUUACACUGUGUG
Molecule: long non-coding RNA, 1505 nt
Organism: Cololabis saira (Pacific saury)
Lineage: Eukaryota; Metazoa; Chordata; Actinopteri; Beloniformes; Belonidae
Exons: 4
Source: RefSeq, a predicted model, not a curated record